This 3355-nucleotide long non-coding RNA is filed under the name Gallus gallus (chicken). The record is from RNAcentral. Lineage: Eukaryota; Metazoa; Chordata; Aves; Galliformes; Phasianidae.
GGGGGCAGGAGGAUCCUCCAGGGUGUGCAGGGCAUUGGGAGAUCCCAUUGUAGAGUGACUCUUCGUGUUGGAAUGGUUUGCUGGUGCAGGGUGUACGGCUCCAUGCAGAUCUCAGGCCUCUGUGGAGGCUGUGCUGGGCAUGAGAACACAGCCGGUGGCUGAGGACCAUUGGGCAGGUCAGAGCUGUGGCCCCGACCACUGGAACAGUGCUCGUUUGUCCAGGCAGGGCUGCAGCUCCUUAGGAUACAGCUGUCACUGUUGCUUUGGCUGUGAAAGGGAGGAUGCCAGCCAGCCGGUACAGAGGCAGCAACGAUCCAGGCUCAGCUGGUAAUCACAUGCUGGGCCUGAAGGUCUCCAUCAGUCGUGCUGUCUCUGGGCCUUUCCUUUCCCUUCAUGCAGGGCGGUGUGUAGGGAUGGAGGGACUCUGAGCUGAGCUGGAUCUUUCAUUCUUGUGCUUCCAGGAGAGUAGCUGGGAACCCUGCUCUUCUGCAGCCUUCCUACACCAGUCCUUUACCACCCAUCACCCUCCAUGACCACACCACAUCCCCUCCCCCUCUGCUGUUGGUCUCCCAGGUCUUCCUUCCUCACACUGCCCUCCUCCGGGCUUUCGUGGGCGUUUUCUGCUCCUCCCUGCCCUGAGCUCCCUGCAGCAACCCCGUCCUGCUGCACUGGGAGGCACUGCCGUUGAAGAUCCUAGAAUGGCUCAGGUUGGAGGGGAGCUCAGAGCCCACCCAGUGCCACCUCCGGCCAUGGGCAGGGCUGCCCCCCACCAGCUCAGGCUGCCCAGGGCCCCAUCCCACCUGGCCUUGAGUGCCUGCAGGGUGCCCUCCCUGCCUGCAGUGCUGCAUUUCUGAAUCGGAGUUGUGUUGUGCGAUGUCAGCUGCGUGCCACGAGCUGUCCACAGGCUGCCCUGCAUUUCUGAUAGAAGAGGCUGAGGUUCUUAUUGCUAGGCUGGUGGAAGCUGUUUGAACAACUCAGGCUCUUCUGGAUGUGCUUCACCCUCCCCAUCCUCCAUUUUGUAAGGUCUUCCUGCAUGCAGCACUGGUGUUCUUUCCUGUGUUUGUUCACUGGAGGGGCUGUAGGAUUAAUUUUAAGCCAUACUAUUUUCUAUACAAGGAAAGUUUUUUGUUGGUCUGUUCCAUUGGCCCCGUUGAGAUCUCCGCCUGCCGGUACGUUCCCUGCAGACCCUGGGCAGCCUGACAGCAGGAGGGAGACCUGUCCCCCCACUGAUAAAUAACUAAGAAGUAAAGCCUUUCAACUCAGCAGGCCUGUAUACAAAAGGGAAAUCCUGGCAUUAUUUCAGAGCUGCGGACUUCCAGAGCAGCAGUCGGGGCUCCUCUGCAAAACCGUGCUGCCCCGAAGCCAGCCAGCCCUACCCCGACUGCUGUGCUGGGUGGGCCGUGGGGAGAGGAGGUGCUGCAGGGCAGCUCUGCCUGGACGUUGCUCCCAGCUGUGCCCGAGAACAGCACUAACCCUGUCAGACCGGGGCGCAUUGCCGUCAGCUGGUUGCCCGCUGCUGUGAGCUGUGUCUGUUCUCAUGUCUCGUAGUUUAUUGCUCAGCAUCUCAGCUUGAGUUCUGUGUACUGACUCCACCUAAUCACAGUAAAAGGUUUGCCCAUGUUUUAACCAUGACGUUGCAAUGUUUUUUCAGCUCCAAAAAGUAAUCAUUGGGAAACAGCAUCUUUCAGUCGAAUAAUCAAGCACCUGGAAUUAGCUUUCACAUUGAGGUAAUGGUGACUGACCUGUUCUCUAUCAUCCCAUGGAGAAACUUCCCCAGUCAUUUUGUACCAUUAUAUAAAUAUAUAUAUAAAUAUAAAUAUAUAAAUACAAUAUGUGAAGACAUCUUAUUGGUUUUUAUUUGAAACAAUUUUUAGGCUUGUUUUUGGGUAUCUGUGCUGCCUGUAAUGUAUUGACCUGUUUUAUAGGUGCCUUUUUAUUAAAAAGACAAAUUUCAAAACCUGACCUCGUGCCUCUCGUCCGUGCUCUGUGUGCUGUCCUGCAGGGCUGCUCGCUGCAGUUGGAACUUCCUCGAGGUGAAAUUCUGCUCUCUGCAGUCAGCCGGGUGGUGCUUCCCAUAGGCUGCAUGGAGGGGAUGGCCCAGCCGUGCAGCUCUGUGUGGUUCCAUCACCUAUGGAGGGUUUUGCUGCCUAAGUCUGGGCUUUGUUGUUGUUCUGUCCCAUCCUCUGCUGUGCCAGCACAUCCUCUAGCCUGUGGGUGUCCAACCUUUUGGCUUCCCUGGGCUGCAUGUACGCAGCUCGCUCCGAAAUUAAUGCCUCCUAUAUAUUUCCGUGGAAACUGCAUCUGAUACAGUGAGCACAGUAACUUUGCUUGAUAGAGCAAAUUCUCAGCUACAACAUGCUAUUUUUUUUUCAACACAGUCCCCACUGUGAGCUAUGCCUUCUGUUCGGUCUCCAGAAACAUUCACCAAGCGUCAAUGGAUAUCAGUGGGUGAUGUUUUUUCUGCAUGUAGGAAUUCAAUGACACACCUUUGCAUCAUCUGCACUUCCAUGUCAGACACCGCUGUGUCAGACUGCCCCUCUGCUGCCAUCUGUCACACGGCAACAACAUGGAACGGGAUAUUGGUGGGAAGGUUCCACCUCUACUGCCGUACCACCACCAUCCGCCUCUGAUGUGGUGGGCUGAUAUCAUAAAACAGGAGGCAUUACUUUUGGAGCAGCCCUCCUAAAAGACAGGAUGUAGUCAAUGUAUGUAAGUAACAACACUUAUUUUAAUCUUUAAUAUUUUUAUUAAAAUGGUAAAAAGAGCAGCAAAGCCAUCAAACUAGUGGGAUCUGUGGCCUUGCUGUUGUGAAGCUAACGCAUCAGCGUGGUUCGGUGGCAGCGGUCUCACGGUGCUGGUCAGAGAUGUUGGAUGAAAUAUUACUCUUCUUUCUGUGCCUCGUCCCUCAACGUGGUUGCUCACAAAUGUCCAUGCUGCCAAAGCCCCAUGGCCCGGGCUCAGCCCACAGAGUGCCCGCAGUGCAGUGCAGGGCAGAGCUGCCACCACGAUGUGGGGCUGUGGGUUGGACAUGGCUGCUCCCACCUCUGUGGCUUGAGGCAGUUCUUCAACUGCUGUUAGUGAGAAACAGCCUCGUUUUCCUCUGCUCCCUGCUGCUGCAGGUCCUGUCCUAGCGCUGUUUGAGCACACCUGCUCCCAGCCACCCCUCCUGGGCAGUGGUGGGUGACGGAGCGGGGCCCAGCUGCACGCACUGGGGGCUCGGGGUGAGGACGCAGGUCCUCUUCUUGAUAAGGAAAAUGAAACCCCGUGUGAGUCACAGCGAGCUGCACGAAGGCGUGCGGGCAGCCCCAGUUCUGCAGCACUCCCAGGCACACGUUCAUUCAUGCAUUCACUGGCU